AUGCACGCUGGCGGCGUGCCUAAUACAUGCAAGUCGAGCGAACGGACGAGAAGCUUGCUUCUCUGAUGUUAGCGGCGGACGGGUGAGUAACACGUGGAUAACCUACCUAUAAGACUGGGAUAACUUCGGGAAACCGGAGCUAAUACCGGAUAAUAUUUUGAACCGCAUGGUUCAAAAGUGAAAGACGGUCUUGCUGUCACUUAUAGAUGGAUCCGCGCUGCAUUAGCUAGUUGGUAAGGUAACGGCUUACCAAGGCAACGAUGCAUAGCCGACCUGAGAGGGUAAUCGGCCACGCUGGAACUGAGACACGAUCCAGACUCAUACGGGAGGCAGCAGUAGGGAAUCUUCCGCAAUGGGCGAAAGCCUGACGGAGCAACGCCGCGUGAGUGAUGAAGGUCUUCGGAUCGUAAAACUCUGUUAUUAGGGAAGAAGAUAUGUGUAAGUAACUGUGAACAUCUUGACGGUACCUAAUCAGAAAGCCACGGCUAACUACGU
RNAcentral lists this ribosomal RNA (495 nucleotides) under uncultured bacterium. RNAcentral's name for it is "partial 16S ribosomal RNA". It matches the Rfam family "Bacterial small subunit ribosomal RNA", at positions 29 to 506 of the family's 1533-position model. The record is from RNAcentral.